GACGAACGCUGGCGGCGUGCUUAACACAUGCAAGUCGAACGGUGAAGCCCCAGCUUGCUGGAGUGGAUCAGUGGCGAACGGGUGAGUAACACGUGAGCAACCUGCCCCUGACUCUGGAAUAAGCGCUGGAAACGGCGUCUAAUACUGGAUACGAGAAGGGUCCGCAUGGGCACUUUCUGGAAAGUUUUUCGGUUGGGGAUGGGCUCGCGGCUUAUCAGCUUGUUGGUGAGGUAAUGGCUCACCAAGGCGACGACGGGUAGCCGGCCUGAGAGGGCGACCGGCCACACUGGGACUGAGACACGGCCCAGACUCCUACGGGAGGCAGCAGUGGGGAAUAUUGCACAAUGGGCGAAAGCCUGAUGCAGCGACGCCGCGUGAGGGAUGACGGCCUUCGGGUUGUAAACCGCUUUCAGCAGGGAAGAAGCGAAAGUGACGGUACCUGCAGAAGAAGCACCGGCUAACUACGUG
Molecule: ribosomal RNA, 468 nt
Filed under: uncultured bacterium
Lineage: Bacteria
Description: partial 16S ribosomal RNA
Rfam family: Bacterial small subunit ribosomal RNA
Source: RNAcentral